UACGGGGGGGGCAAGCGUUGUUCGGAAUUACUGGGCGUAAAGGGUUCGUAGGUGGCCAACUAAGUCAGACGUGAAAUCCCUCAGCUUAACUGGGGAACUGCGUCUGAUACUGGUUGGCUUGAGUGCAGGAGAGGAACGCGGAAUUCCAGGUGUAGCGGUGAAAUGCGUAGAUAUCCGGAGGAACACCAGUGGCGAAAGCGGCCACCUGGACUGUACCUGACGCUCAAACACGAAAGCUAGGGGAGCGAACGGG
RNAcentral lists this ribosomal RNA (253 nucleotides) under uncultured bacterium. RNAcentral's name for it is "partial 16S ribosomal RNA". It matches the Rfam family "Bacterial small subunit ribosomal RNA", at positions 524 to 776 of the family's 1533-position model. The record is from RNAcentral.